AGCGAACGCUGGCGGCAGGCCUAACACAUGCAAGUCGAACGAACCUUUCGGGGUUAGUGGCGGACGGGUGAGUAACACGUGGGAACGUGCCUUUAGGUUCGGAAUACUCAGGGAAACUUGUGCUAAUACCGAAUGUGCCCUUCGGGGGAAAGAUUUAUCGCCUUUAGAGCGGCCCGCGUCUGAUUAGCUAGUUGGUUGAGGUAAUGGCUCACCAAGGCGACGAUCAGUAGCUGGUCUGAGAGGAUGAUCAGCCACAUUGGGACUGAGACACGGCCCAAACUCCUACGGGAGGCAGCAGUGGGGAAUCUUGCGCAAUGGGCGAAAGCCUGACGCAGCCAUGCCGCGUGAAUGAUGAAGGUCUUAGGAUUGUAAAAUUCUUUCACCGGGGACGAUAAUGACGGUACCCGGAGAAGAAGCCCCGGCUAACUUCGUG
RNAcentral lists this ribosomal RNA (433 nucleotides) under uncultured bacterium. RNAcentral describes it as "partial 16S ribosomal RNA". It matches the Rfam family "Bacterial small subunit ribosomal RNA", at positions 29 to 507 of the family's 1533-position model. The record is from RNAcentral.